Molecule: ribosomal RNA, 253 nt
Filed under: uncultured bacterium
Lineage: Bacteria
Description: partial 16S ribosomal RNA
Rfam family: Bacterial small subunit ribosomal RNA
Source: RNAcentral
UACGGAGGGUGCAAGCGUUAAUCGGAAUUACUGGGCGUAAAGCGCACGCAGGUGGCUGAGUCAGUCGAUUGUGAAAGCCCUGGGCUUAACCUGGGAAUUGCAGUCGAUACUACUCAGCUAGAGUAUGGGAGAGGGUAGUGGAAUUCCCGGUGUAGCGGUGAAAUGCGUAGAUAUCGGGAGGAACAUCAGUGGCGAAGGCGGUCUGCUGGGCAGUUUCUGACACUGAGGCGCGACAGCGUGGGGAGCAAACAGG